UGCGAUCGAGAGAAGGGUCAGGGAACUCUUUCCCUCUCAUAAACCCUAAGUCACUAAAAUUCCAUCAAUUAAAGGUGAAAUUAGCAAGGAAUCGAAUGCAUGAGCUAGGAAUUUUGAUGAUAUGCGUCGUAUUAGCAAGGGAUCAAGCAUGGAAAGCUAACGGGUCAAGAGGAGACAAGGAAGUGAAUGCGAAAACGGACGCUCAAGGUAAGUGAUUCCGUAAUCACUUCUUAGUUUGUUUAAGUAAUGUAGCGUUUUAAUUAAUUAAACAUGAUGUUUAAUGUCAAAUAUGGAUUUAGUUGAAUGAAAUUGGUGAUUUUUUCUAAGUAGACCAAACGGGUCAAAAUGAGGUCUUAUGAUUAUAUCGAAAAGUUGUAUAAGAAAUGGCUACGGUAGUAUAAACGGUUAAUGGGUAAAAUUGCACAUAAGUACGCAAUCCGGGAAUCGGAGAUGUGGUUUAAUAGUCAAAAGACUCAGAUGUGAGUUGGUUUAAUAGAUAUAUAUUUGCGCAAGUGGAGGUUUUAGUAGCAAGUUUGAUACGUAGGUUUAAAUGGAGUGAAUGAAUUUAAUGAAUACCGGGUAUCGGUUGCGUAAACCCCAAGUACGAAACUCUAGAUAAUAUAAGAGUAUUAUGGAUAUAAUGUUCAUGUAUGUUUUGGGUUAAAACAAAGGAGUGGUUUGAUGAAAACAUAAACGGGUCAAAUAAUUAGAAAAUGAUUAUUAAG
This 725-nucleotide long non-coding RNA is filed under the name Helianthus annuus (common sunflower). The record is from RNAcentral. Lineage: Eukaryota; Viridiplantae; Streptophyta; Magnoliopsida; Asterales; Asteraceae.